RNAcentral lists this ribosomal RNA (513 nucleotides) under uncultured bacterium. RNAcentral describes it as "partial 16S ribosomal RNA". It matches the Rfam family "Bacterial small subunit ribosomal RNA", at positions 28 to 523 of the family's 1533-position model. The record is from RNAcentral.
GACGAACGCUGGCGGCGUGCCUAAUACAUGCAAGUUGAGCGCUGAAGGUUGGUACUUGUACCGACUGGAUGAGCAGCGAACGGGUGAGUAACGCGUGGGGAAUCUGCCUUUGAGCGGGGGACAACAUUUGGAAACGAAUGCUAAUACCGCAUAAAAACUUUAAACACAAGUUUUAAGUUUGAAAGAUGCAAUUGCAUCACUCAAAGAUGAUCCCGCGUUGUAUUAGCUAGUUGGUGAGGUAAAGGCUCACCAAGGCGAUGAUACAUAGCCGACCUGAGCGGGUGAUCGGCCACAUUGGGACGGAGACACGGCCCAAACUCCUACGGGAGGUAGCAGUAGGGAAUCUUCGGCAAUGGACGAAAGUCUGACCGAGCAACGCCGCGUGAGUGAAGAAGGUUUUCGGAUCGUAAAACUCUGUUGGUAGAGAAGAACGUUGGUGAGAGUGGAAAGCUCAUCAAGUGACGGUAACUACCCAGAAAGGGACGGCUAACUACGUGCCAGCCGCCGCGGUAA